RNAcentral lists this ribosomal RNA (257 nucleotides) under uncultured bacterium. RNAcentral's name for it is "partial 16S ribosomal RNA". It matches the Rfam family "Bacterial small subunit ribosomal RNA", at positions 524 to 778 of the family's 1533-position model. The record is from RNAcentral.
UACGGAGGGUGCAAGCGUUAUCCGGAUUCACUGGGUUUAAAGGGUGCGUAGGUGGGCAGGUAAGUCAGUGGUGAAAUCUCCGGGCUUAACCCGGAACUGCCGUUGAUACUAUUUGUCUUGAAUAUUGUGGAGGUAAGCGGAAUAUGUCAUGUAGCGGUGAAAUGCUUAGAUAUGACAUAGAACACCAAUUGCGAAGGCAGCUUACUACACAAUGAUUGACACUGAGGCAACGAAAGCGUUGGGGAGUCAAACAGGGA